UGGUAGUGGUGUAUUAUACUCCAUUCCACAAAAGAAUGCAACUCACUCGUAUAUCCAAAUAAACAAACUCCCCUGUCUUGUGGUUAAAUUCUACUACAAAGCCAAAUGUGCAAAGACUGAUAUAUUUUGGUUGUCACCCAGUUGACUUACUAUGUCCAACUUAAAACAGUGCCUAAAAAAAUGUUGAUAAAUAUGAAAUCAGGUUACACCCAUCGUGGACUGUUGUCUAUUAGUCUUGGGUACAUCCCACGUGCAAGCUAAUAGUAUGCAGGUCUGAUUAGGUUUAAUCCAGUUAUCAGGCCAACUGUACAUAGUUGUCACUAUUGGUGUUGAAAACUGGUAUAGCUUAUUUAGUAGGGUCUGUAGAUAUCUGAAAACUUCUGCGCUUUAAUAGACAGUCUUUUGGAGCCGAUCUA
Cinara cedri is the source of this 416-nucleotide non-coding RNA. The record is from the annotation of a GenBank genome assembly. NCBI's taxonomy places the organism in Eukaryota, Metazoa, Arthropoda, Insecta, Hemiptera, Aphididae.